CCUACGGGAGGCAGCAGUGAGGAAUAUUGGUCAAUGGACGGAAGGCUGAACCAGCCAAGUAGCGUGAAGGACGACUGCCCUAUGGGUUGUAAACCUCUUUUAUAAGGGAAGAAUAAAUUCUACGUGUAGCAUGUUGCCUGUACCUUAUGAAUAAGCAUCGGCUAACUCCGUGCCAGCAGCCGCGGUAAUACGGAGGAUGCGAGCGUUAUCCGGAUUUAUUGGGUUUAAAGGGUGCGUAGGCGGUUUUUUAAGUUAGUGUUUAAAUGUCGGGGCUUCACCUUGAAUUGCCAUUAAUACUGGCAGACUUGAGUUCAGUCGAGGUAGGCGGAAUACGUGAUGUAGCGGUGAAAUGCUUAGAUAUAACUUAGAACUCCGAUAGCGAAGGCAGUUCACUGGACUGCGACUGACGCUGAGGCACGAGAGUGUGGGUAGCGAACAGGAUUAGAUACCCGGGUAGUC
This 459-nucleotide ribosomal RNA is filed under the name uncultured bacterium. Its description in RNAcentral is "partial 16S ribosomal RNA". It matches the Rfam family "Bacterial small subunit ribosomal RNA", at positions 338 to 795 of the family's 1533-position model. The record is from RNAcentral.